GCUACCAUGGUUUUAACGGGUAACGGGGAUUUAGGGUUCGAUUCCGGAGAGGGAGCCUGAGAAACGGCUACCACUUCUAUAGGAAGGCAGCAGGCGCGCAAAUUACCCAAUCCCGACACGGGGAGGUAGUGACAAUAAAUAACAAUACAGGGCCUUUACAGGUUUUGUAAUUGGAAUGAGUACAAUUUAAAUCUCUUAACGAGGAACAAUUGGAGGGCAAGUCUGGUGCCAGCAGCCGCGGUAAUUCCAGCUCCAAUAGCGUAUAUUAAAGUUGUUGCAGUUAAAAAGCUCGUAGUUGAAUUUUGGAUUCUGCCAGUUGGUCCAUCUUUUGAUGAGUACUGAUUGUGUGGGGUCUAUCCGCCUGGUGAUACGUAAUGUACUUUAUUGUAUGUUGCGGGUAGUCAGGACCUUUACCUUGAAAAAAUUAGAGUGUUUAAAGCAGGCUUAUGCCGGAAUACAUUAGCAUGGAAUAAUAGAAUAGGACGAUGUUUUAUUUUGUUGGUUUCUAGGACAACCGUAAUGAUUAAUAGGGAUAGUUGGGGGCAUUAGUAUUCAAUUGUCAGAGGUGAAAUUCUUGGAUUUAUUGAAGACUAACUACUGCGAAAGCAUUUGCCAAGGAUGUUUUCAUUAAUCAAGAACGAAAGUUAGGGGAUCGAAGACGAUCAGAUACCGUCGUAGUCUUAACCAUAAACUAUGCCGACUAGGGAUCGGGCGAUGUUGUUUCAAUGACUCGCUCGGCACCUUAUGGGAAAC
RNAcentral lists this ribosomal RNA (753 nucleotides) under uncultured Archaeospora. Its description in RNAcentral is "SSU rRNA". It matches the Rfam family "Eukaryotic small subunit ribosomal RNA", at positions 340 to 1098 of the family's 1831-position model. Lineage: Eukaryota; Fungi; Glomeromycota; Glomeromycetes; Archaeosporales; Archaeosporaceae. The record is from RNAcentral.